Molecule: small RNA, 171 nt
Filed under: pig gut metagenome
Description: Bacteroidales-1 6S-Bacteroidales RNA suggested
Rfam family: Bacteroidales-1 6S-Bacteroidales RNA suggested
Source: RNAcentral
GUAGAUUGGGAAACUCUUCAAAUUAUUAUGAAAUGCCGAGCAAACCUUGAUGCCUAAUGGCGGGCCUCAGCUGCCUAUGGCAGAGCCUUCGUGCCGGAGGAUUACAAAGGGCUUCAAGGCCUCAAACCCUGUCAUCUCGGAGUUUCAUCGCAUCCUUUGGUGUGGCCCUUU